CUGCUGAUGUGGGUGGAGAUGAUCUUUGCUUUGAGAACAGGAUUCAUUAUGUGGGCUGGUCAGGAGUGGGAACAAGAGCAGGAAGGCCACAGGGGAUUGAGAGUACUUCUGUCCCCAACACACUCAUCAAGGACGUGCAAUCGGGGGCCAAGGCUCAUUAUGGUGAUUUUCAACAGGGAAAGAGGGAAUUAUCGGAACUGGGGUGAAAUGUGGGUGAUGAUUAAAGAAGUUUGAGAGAAAAAAAAGCAUACCUAGCUGAUUCUAACAUCUAAAGAAUUACUAUGGUGACGAGUUUUGUUUUGUUUUGUUUUGUUUUGUUUAACUAAAAAGUAAGGUAGAGAAUCAAAUUAAAAGUGCACAGCAUGGGCUAUGAACCACUUCUAAAAGGUUUCACAUCUUCUUUAACAGAAUUUAAUGGCUAAAAUGUAAGGAGAUAACAAGGGUGACAGAAGGUACUGAAAAAAACAGUAUGUGAGUCACGGCCCAUGUUUUCUUUAGGAUAGAUGCUGAGUAAACAACUAAAGAGUUACGGUACAUGCCUGUGUAUAUUUUAAAUUUCAAUAGAUACUUCCAAAUUACUUCCUAUUGAGGAUCCCACAGUGGUAUGGACAAGCUCUCUAAACUUUUACCUACUGUAUGCAUGAUGCCUUGCUAAUUACAGAAUAUAUAAUAAUAAAGGCCCUAAAAUAUGAUUCAGCAUCACUAAAAGUAAAGGGAAAACAGAAAUGUUUGUUGUGAUAGAGGUAGUAUGAUGAGUAACUGCUCUCUGUAGUAUCAGUAAUGAAAUGCUUGUACAAUAAGCCAGGUGCUAAUGAAAUCAGCAUCUGGCAUUAUAAAGAUAAGAAGUUAUCCCAAAGAAUAUCUCAAUGAAGAAUGCUGAAUAAAUUCAUCCACAGGCACUUGUUUCGUUCAUCCUACUGCACUAAGCCUAAGUGGUCACAACACAACUAACAAUUAUCCUUGAAAAUUAAAGGAGAAUAGCCCAGCUUUAAAACAAACUUAAAAUCUAGAAAAGAAAAAAUAUAUUACUUCAACUUCAAAAAUGGGAAAAUCCUGAAACAU
This 1062-nucleotide long non-coding RNA is filed under the name Homo sapiens (human). Its description in RNAcentral is "HSALNT0212915". Lineage: Eukaryota; Metazoa; Chordata; Mammalia; Primates; Hominidae. The record is from RNAcentral.